This 397-nucleotide ribosomal RNA is filed under the name Ebria sp. RNAcentral's name for it is "partial small subunit ribosomal RNA". It matches the Rfam family "Eukaryotic small subunit ribosomal RNA", at positions 582 to 975 of the family's 1831-position model. Lineage: Eukaryota; Cercozoa; Thecofilosea; Ebriacea. The record is from RNAcentral.
AUUCCAGCUCCAAUAGCGUAUAUUAAAGUUGUUGCAGUUAAAAAGCUCGUAGUUGGAUUUCUGGUUUGAUGCCCUGGCCCACUGCUAUUUUGGUAGUGUGUGCCGGUUGUGCGUCUGCCAUCCUUCUAGGGAACGUUCCUUCUCUUCACUGAGCCGGGUUUGUGAUCUAGAUCGUUUACUUUGAAAAAAUUAGAGUGUUUAAAGCAGGCUUUUGCUAUGAAUACAUUAGCAUGGAGUAAUAAUCUAGGACUUCGGUCAUAUUUUGUUGGUUUCUGUAACUGAAGUAAUGAUUGAUAGGGAUAGUUGGGGGUGCUAGUAUUGAGCGGCCAGAGGUGAAAUUCUUGGAUUCGCUCAAGACUAACUUAUGCGAAAGCAUUCACCAAGGAUGUCUUCAUUG